This 546-nucleotide long non-coding RNA is filed under the name Mus pahari (shrew mouse). Its description in RNAcentral is "lncRNA (MGP_PahariEiJ_G0005244.1)". Lineage: Eukaryota; Metazoa; Chordata; Mammalia; Rodentia; Muridae. The record is from RNAcentral.
UGUGCCUCCUUUGAAUUCACCUCUUCUCAUGGUAAAGGUUAGCAAGAUUGUAGCCACAGUUCUUUGGUCUCAGUACAUAUGUGAGGGCACUCCAUCAAACCCAGAGCUCAUCUAUUAUAAUGAUCUCAGUGGCCAGUUUACUCUGUGGAUCCAGAGUCUGCAGAACCAGGCUGAAAUAUGGCUUGCUCUGCCAGUCUAGCGUUAUAAUCUAGGAUUCCGGAGAUCCAUCACUCUGGGGUCAGACUCCAGGCCCUCUCGCCUAUGUGACAAGUGCCUUUCCAUAGCUAGCUGAGAAAAGGCCCUGCUUUGUGUUUUGGAUGGGGUCUCUCUUCUCUCUACUUAGCACCGGCUGUUCUGGAAAUCACUAUAGAAAGCAGACUGACUUUGAAAUCAUAGAGCUCCACCAGUCUUUGCCUCCCUAGUGGUGCUGAAAUUAAAGGCGCUCACCACCCGGUCUGGUGACAUUUUUCCUUAAAAAAAAAAAAAAGAACAAAAAAAGAAAAGAACAAAAUGGGUUGCGUUUGCCAGUUUUAAAAAGAAUUGCCU